RNAcentral lists this long non-coding RNA (455 nucleotides) under Homo sapiens (human). RNAcentral's name for it is "HSALNT0017387". Lineage: Eukaryota; Metazoa; Chordata; Mammalia; Primates; Hominidae. The record is from RNAcentral.
AGCGAGAUCCCUUCCAUGGCAUCCUUGCCAAAAAUGAAUACCCUGAAUUAAUCAUGAGAAAACAUCAGACAAAACAAAUUGAGGGACUCACUGAAAGUUUCAAGGUCAUGAAAGACAAAAAAAGAUUGAGGAACAGUUCCAGAUUACAUGAGGCUAAGAAGACAUGGCAACUAAAUGAAUCCUGUACAAGAAAAAGAACAUUAGUGGGACAACUGGUAAAAUUUGAAUAAGAUAUGAAUGAGAGAACAUGUAGCCUAUUUUCGACUACUGGACAACUUACCUACAAGAUGAAGCCAACAAUGUUGUUAGCACAGAAAGACAAAAUAAAACCUGGAUCCUUGAUCAUAUUACUAAACUGCUGGAUCAAUGAAUUCUGAUACACGCUGCCAAGCAUGUGGGCCAAUAAAUGUACUCAUUGUUGAAGCCAGUUUGAUUUAGAUUGUCUGUUAUUUACG